This 127-nucleotide non-coding RNA is filed under the name Glossina brevipalpis. RNAcentral describes it as "eukaryotic small subunit ribosomal RNA". It matches the Rfam family "Eukaryotic small subunit ribosomal RNA", at positions 1674 to 1793 of the family's 1831-position model. Lineage: Eukaryota; Metazoa; Arthropoda; Insecta; Diptera; Glossinidae. The record is from RNAcentral.
CGUCUCUACUACCGAUUGAAUUAUUUAGUGAGGUCUCCGGACGUGAUCACUGUAACGCAUUUUAUGUGUUGCGGAUGUUUCGCAAAAGUUGACCGAACUUGAUUAUUUAGAGGAAGUGAAAGUCGUA